Molecule: ribosomal RNA, 403 nt
Filed under: uncultured bacterium
Lineage: Bacteria
Description: partial 16S ribosomal RNA
Rfam family: Bacterial small subunit ribosomal RNA
Source: RNAcentral
AUUGAACGCUGGCGUCAGGCCUAACACAUGCAAGUCGAGCGAGCGGCGGACGCUUGAGUAAUGUAUGGGGACUGCCCGAUAGAGGGGGCUAACUACUGGAAACGGUAUCUACUACCGCAUACCAUCCUAUAACCCAUAUGGGAUUAGCUAGUAGGUGAGGUAAUGGCGCACCUAGGCGAAGAUCCCUAGCUGGUCUGAGAGGAUGAUCAGCCACACUGGGACUGAGAAACGGCCCAGACUCAUACGGAGGCAGAAGUGGGGAUUAUUGCACAAGGGGCGCAAGCCUGAUGCAGCCAUGCCGCGUGUAUGAAGAAGGCCCUAGGGUUGUAAAGGAAUUUCCGUCGGGAGGCGUUACCGACAGAAGAAUCACCGGCUAACUCCGUGCCAGCAGCCGCGGUAAUAC